This is a non-coding RNA of Pangasius djambal, 72 nucleotides long. The record is from the annotation of a GenBank genome assembly. NCBI's taxonomy places the organism in Eukaryota, Metazoa, Chordata, Actinopteri, Siluriformes, Pangasiidae.
UCCCUGGUGUGCUAGUGGCUAGCAUGCAGCGCUCUCACUGCAACAGCCCGGGUUCAUUUCCUGGUCAGGGAA